UCCUCCUUAGCUCAGUUGGUUAGAGCAUCUGACUGUUAAUCAGAGGGUCCAAAGUUCGAGUCUUUGAGGAGGAG
Transfer RNA from Psychroflexus salarius, 74 nucleotides. It matches the Rfam family "tRNA". Rfam says of the family: Transfer RNA (tRNA) molecules are approximately 80 nucleotides in length. Their secondary structure includes four short double-helical elements and three loops (D, anti-codon, and T loops). Lineage: Bacteria; Pseudomonadati; Bacteroidota; Flavobacteriia; Flavobacteriales; Flavobacteriaceae. The record is from Rfam.